GGCGAACGCUGGCGGCGUGCCUAAUACAUGCAAGUCGAACGAAGCUUUUUUAACUGGUGCUUGCACCGACUCAAACAACUGAGUGGCGAACGGGUGAGUAACACGUGGGUAACCUGCCCCAAAGCGGGGGAUAACAUUUGGAAACAGAUGCUAAUACCGCAUAACCACAGAAACCACAUGGCUUCGGGGUCAAAGAUGGCUUAGGCAAUUGAUUUGGGAUGGCACCGCCGCGUAUUAGCUAGUUGGUAAGGUAAUGGCUUACCAAGGCAAGGGUACGUAGCCGAACUGAGAGGGUGAUCGGCCACAUUGGGACUGAGACACGGCCCAAACUCCUACGGGAGGCAACCAUAGGGAAUCUUCCACAAUGGACGAAAGUCUGAUGGAGCAACGCCGCGUGAGUGAAGAAGGUUUUCGGAUCGCAAAACUCUGUUGUCAGAGAAGAACGUGUGCGAGAGUAACUGUUCGUGCAGUGACGGUAUCUGGCCAGAAAGCCACGGCUAACUACGUGCCAGCAGCCGCCGUAA
This 524-nucleotide ribosomal RNA is filed under the name uncultured bacterium. RNAcentral describes it as "partial 16S ribosomal RNA". It matches the Rfam family "Bacterial small subunit ribosomal RNA", at positions 28 to 523 of the family's 1533-position model. The record is from RNAcentral.